AUUGAACGCUGGCGGCAUGCCUUACACAUGCAAGUCGAAUGGCAGCACGGGAGCAAUCCUGGUGGCGAGUGGCGAACGGGUGAGUAAUAUAUCGGAACGUGCCCAGUCGUGGGGGAUAACGCAGCGAAAGCUGUGCUAAUACCGCAUACGAUCUACGGAUGAAAGCGGGGGAUCGCAAGACCUCGCGCGAUUGGAGCGGCCGAUAUCAGAUUAGCUAGUUGGUGGGGUAAAGGGCCACCAAGGCGACGAUCUGUAGCUGGUCUGAGAGGACGACCACCCACACUGGAACUGAGACACGGUCCAGACUCCUAUGGGAGGAAGCAGUGGGGAAUUUUGGACAAUGGGCGCAAGCCUGAUCCAGCAAUGCCGCGUGCAGGAUGAAGGCCUUCGGGUUGUAAACUGCUUUUGUACGUAACGAAACGGCCCUUUCUAAUACAGGGGGCUAAUGACGGUACCGUAAGAAUAAGCACCGGCUAACUACGUGCCAGCCGCCGCGGUAA
Molecule: ribosomal RNA, 500 nt
Filed under: uncultured bacterium
Lineage: Bacteria
Description: partial 16S ribosomal RNA
Rfam family: Bacterial small subunit ribosomal RNA
Source: RNAcentral